Molecule: ribosomal RNA, 497 nt
Filed under: uncultured bacterium
Lineage: Bacteria
Description: partial 16S ribosomal RNA
Rfam family: Bacterial small subunit ribosomal RNA
Source: RNAcentral
GAUGAACGCUGGCGGCGUGCCUAAUACAUGCAAGUCGAGCGAACAGAUGAGGAGCUUGCUCCUCUGACGUUAGCGGCGGACGGGUGAGUAACACGUGGAUAACCUACCUAUAAGACUGGGAUAACUUCGGGAAACCGGAGCUAAUACCGGAUAAUAUAUUGAACCGCAUGGUUCAAUAGUGAAAGACGGUUUUGCUGUCACUUAUAGAUGGAUCCGCGCCGCAUUAGCUAGUUGGUAAGGUAACGGCUUACCAAGGCGACGAUGCGUAGCCGACCUGAGAGGUUGUUGGCCCCCACUGUACCUGACCCCCGGUCCAGACCCCUGCGGGGGGCAGCAGUCGGGAUUCUUCCGCGAUGGGCGAAGGCCUAACGGAGCACCCCCGGGUGGGUUAUGAGGUUCUUCGGAUCUUAAAACUCUUUUAUUAGGAAAAAAAAAUUUUGAAAGAACCUAUACCUGUCUUGCGGUUCCCUAAUAAGAAAGCCCCGCCUACCUCCCCC